RNAcentral lists this ribosomal RNA (230 nucleotides) under uncultured bacterium. Its description in RNAcentral is "partial 16S ribosomal RNA". It matches the Rfam family "Bacterial small subunit ribosomal RNA", at positions 109 to 334 of the family's 1533-position model. The record is from RNAcentral.
AGUAAUACAUAAGUAACCUGCCUAGACAGGGGAUAACUAUUGGAAACGAUAGCUAAGACCGCAUAGGUACGGACACUGCAUGGUGACCGUAUUAAAAGUGCCUCAAAGCACUGGUAGAGGAUGGACUUAUGGCGCAUUAGCUGGUUGGCGGGGUAACGGCCCACCAAGGCGACGAUGCGUAGCCGACCUGAGAGGGUGACCGGCCACACUGGGACUGAGACACGGCCCAG